Long non-coding RNA from Rhipicephalus microplus (southern cattle tick), 478 nucleotides. The record is from RefSeq and is a predicted model, not a curated record. Lineage: Eukaryota; Metazoa; Arthropoda; Arachnida; Ixodida; Ixodidae.
GGAUUUUCUUGUCCUCAACCAGCCAAAGCCAGCCCUCCACUGCUUAAGAUCUUUCUCUCACUGUUGGCGUGUGUUGCGGUACAUGUGAGCGUAGUAACGGGAAGUAGUAAUUAAUUUGACAGGCUCAAACAGCACCAAAAGCGAUGCUCAAAAUCACCCAGCCUCGUGUGGAACGAAUCGACCCUGCUGAGGAGAAGCAGCGGGCUCGGUCUGCCACUAUUAGCACAUUAUUCAAGUUUGGUCUUCUAGUUACACUGAUACGAGCAACGCCCCAUGUUAUCAACCAGUUCCGGAGCUAGGAAGACUACUAUCGCAGUGGCUGGUUUCGACGGAUGGCGCGAAGUAAGAAUUCACGGAUACCUCAGAAUUUCCCAUGGCCUAAUAGUGAUUCAGAAACUGCGAUUUCAAGUGGAAGCGCUUCGCAAGAUUGCCAGGCGUAGUUCACCACCGACAGAAAUAAACGCGAUAAAAAAAAAAA